UUACCACACUAAUAUAGAGUCGCUUUGGAUAAAAGCGUCUGCUAAAUGGCAUAUA
Molecule: non-coding RNA, 55 nt
Organism: Salmo salar (Atlantic salmon)
Lineage: Eukaryota; Metazoa; Chordata; Actinopteri; Salmoniformes; Salmonidae
Source: Rfam